UACGGGAGGCAGCAGGGGGAAUAUUGCACAAUGGGCGCAAGCCUGAUGCAGCCAUGCCGCGUGUAUGAAGAAGGCCUUCGGGUUGUAAAGUACUUUUCAGUCGUGAGGAAGGUGUUAAGGUUAAUAACCUUAGCAAUUGACGUUAGCGACAGAAGAAGCACCGGCUAACUCCGUGCCAGCAGCCGCGGUAAUACGGAGGGUGCGAGCGUUAAUCGGAAUUACUGGGCGUAAAGGGCACGCAGGCGGUUAAUUAAGUUGGAUGUGAAAUCCCCGGGCUUAACCUGGGAAUGGCAUUCAAGACUGGUUAGCUAGAGUCUUGUAGAGGGGGUAGAAUUCCAUGUGUAGCGGUGAAAUGCGUAGAGAUGUGGAGGAAUACCGGUGGCGAAGGCGGCCCCUGGACAAAGACUGACGCUCAUGUGCGAAAGCGUGGGGAGCAAACAGGGAUUAGAUACC
This 453-nucleotide ribosomal RNA is filed under the name uncultured bacterium. RNAcentral's name for it is "bacterial SSU rRNA". It matches the Rfam family "Bacterial small subunit ribosomal RNA", at positions 340 to 786 of the family's 1533-position model. The record is from RNAcentral.